AAACCAUGAUGUGGACAUUAUCUAAGCAUAUUAUUAUAUCUAUCCCAAGCUUCAAAUAAAGAUUUUGAGUCAUCUUGUUUGAAACUUGAAAUAAGAUUCCUCAUAU
Small nucleolar RNA from Zingiber officinale, 106 nucleotides. The record is from RefSeq and is a predicted model, not a curated record. NCBI's taxonomy places the organism in Eukaryota, Viridiplantae, Streptophyta, Magnoliopsida, Zingiberales, Zingiberaceae.